This 486-nucleotide ribosomal RNA is filed under the name uncultured bacterium. Its description in RNAcentral is "bacterial SSU rRNA". It matches the Rfam family "Bacterial small subunit ribosomal RNA", at positions 28 to 507 of the family's 1533-position model. The record is from RNAcentral.
GAUGAACGCUAGCUACAGGCUUAACACAUGCAAGUCGAGGGGCAGCACUAGGUAGCAAUACUGAGGUGGCGACCGGCGCACGGGUGCGUAACGCGUAUCCAACCUUCCCGUUACUCUUGGAUAGCCUUCCGAAAGGGAGAUUAAUACAAGAUGGUAUUCAAAUUCCGCAUGUUAUUUGAAUUAAAGAUUUAUCGGUAACGGAUGGGGAUGCGUGACAUUAGAUAGUAGGCGGGGUAACGGCCCACCUAGUCUACGAUGUCUAGGGGUUCUGAGAGGAAGGUCCCCCACACUGGAACUGAGACACGGUCCAGACUCCUACGGGAGGCAGCAGUGAGGAAUAUUGGUCAAUGGUCGGAAGACUGAACCAGCCAAGUAGCGUGAAGGAUGAAGGUUCUAUGAGUUGUAAACUGCUUUUGUAUGAGGGUAAUAUCAGGUACGUGUACCUGCUUGAAAGUAUCAUACGAAUAAGGAUCGGCUAACUCCGUG